Molecule: ribosomal RNA, 805 nt
Filed under: Arhopalus unicolor
Lineage: Eukaryota; Metazoa; Arthropoda; Insecta; Coleoptera; Cerambycidae
Description: partial 12S ribosomal RNA
Source: RNAcentral
AAUUAUAAAAAUUAAUUUUAUUAGUUUUAAUAAAUUUCUAAAAAUAAUUUUAAAUUAAAAUUUAUUAGGUGAAAUUUUAAAUUUUAAUAAAAAAUUUAUUUAUUUAGUGAUUUUAAGAAAUUUAAAUUUUAAACUAGGAUUAGAUACCCUAUUAUUUUAAACGUUAAAUUAAAAUGCUAAAUUAGUAUUAGUUAUGUUCUUGAAAAUUAAAGAUUUUGGCGGUAUUUUAGUCUAUUCAGAGGAACCUGUUCUAUAAUUGAUAAUCCACGAUUUAAUUUACUUUUUUUAUUAAUUUAUAUAUCAUCGUAGUUUGAAUAUUUUAAAAGAAUAUUAAUAUUCAUAAUAUUUUUUAAAUAAAAAAUCAGAUCAAGGUAUAGUUUAUAAAAAAGAAGAAAUGGGUUACAAUAAAUUUAUUUAAGGAUAUUUUUUUUUAAAAAAGAUUGAAUUUGGAUUUGAAAGUAAUUUAAUUAAAAUUAUUUAAAUGAUUUAAGCUCUAAAAUAUGUACAUAUUGCCCGUCGCUUUCACUUUAAGGUGAAAUAAGUCGUAACAAAGUAGGCUUACUGGAAAGUGAGCCUAGAAAGAACAAAUUAGAGCUUGAUAUAAAGUAUUUUAUUUACAUUAAAAAGUGAAUUGUGAAAUUCAAUUUAAUUUGAAAAAUAAAAAUUAUUUAUUUGAAAAAUUAUAAAUAAAAUUAAAAUAAAAAAAUUUAUUUUUAUUAUUAAAAAAGAAAAAAUUUUAUUUAUUAUAGUUUAUUAGUAUUAUAAAAGAAAUUUUUAUAUUUAUUAUUAAGAAUAAUUAAUUUUU